This 449-nucleotide ribosomal RNA is filed under the name uncultured bacterium. Its description in RNAcentral is "bacterial SSU rRNA". It matches the Rfam family "Bacterial small subunit ribosomal RNA", at positions 329 to 795 of the family's 1533-position model. The record is from RNAcentral.
CUCCAGACUCCUACGGGAGGCAGCAGUGGGGAAUAUUGCACAAUGGGGGAAACCCUGAUGCAGCAACGCCGCGUGAGUGAAGAAGUAUUUCGGUAUGUAAAGCUCUAUCAGCAGGGAAGAAAAUGACGGUACCUGAGUAAGAAGCCCCGGCUAACUACGUGCCAGCAGCCGCGGUAAUACGUAGGGGGCAAGCGUUAUCCGGAUUUACUGGGUGUAAAGGGAGCGUAGACGGCGAUACAAGUCUGAAGUGAAAGCCCGGGGCUCAACCCCGGGACUGCUUUGGAAACUGUGUUGCUGGAGUGCUGGAGAGGCAAGCGGAAUUCCUAGUGUAGCGGUGAAAUGCGUAGAUAUUAGGAAGAACACCAGUGGCGAAGGCGGCGUGCUGGACAGUAACUGACGUUGAGGCUCGAAAGCGUGGGGAGCAAACAGGAUUAGAUACCCCAGUAGAC